This 120-nucleotide ribosomal RNA is filed under the name uncultured bacterium. RNAcentral describes it as "partial 16S ribosomal RNA". It matches the Rfam family "Bacterial small subunit ribosomal RNA", at positions 796 to 918 of the family's 1533-position model. The record is from RNAcentral.
CACGCCGUAAACGAUGAGUGCUAGGUGUUGGGGGUCAAACCUCGGUGCCGCAGUUAACACAUUAAGCACUCCGCCUGGGGAGUACGUGCGCAAGCAUGAAACUCAAAGGAAUUGACGGGG